AUUUCAAAGUAUAUAAAAUAAAUAGAGAAAUAAAUACAUAGCAGAACUCAGAAUUAAAAUAAAACAACUCACAGAACGUCAUAAAAAAAAAAAUUUUGAUCAAUCUGCGAAAGUGAAAAGUUCGGCUAUGAUAUGAAAAUUACGAAUCGAAGUUGGGUAAUUUGGUUUCUCCUUCUAUCUCAGGCACUCUAUCGUAUGGUGUGGAACCGAUGGUAAUUCUUCACCAGAAUGCGUAUAAGAAGGUGGCAGGACCAAUAUCCUUUUAUAUAGAGUCUAGAUCGACUUCCCAUCAAAUCUAUCCUUUUGAUCAUUUUGACUCGUUAGAUCAUACUAUUCAACCAACCACCCACUCAAUCCUAGGAAGCCCACAUCAUCCUAACCGCACAUCUCUUAAUUCAAUGACCAAAAACUUGGUGGCACCAAUGACUUGGUGCUAUUAAUAGUAUAUUAGCCUAGUUCUAUAUAUAUAAAAAAUAGAGUAUGGUUACUAUACUCUUUUGAGUAUAGAGUUCUUCGUACUUAUAUAUUAUUUUCGAUGAUUGAGCUUUCGAAUUGACGAUCCACACCAUUAAAUAUAAUCUAAAUUAUUUAAAAGUUUUAGAAAUAAAAUUCGUAAUUUUUUGAAAUUAUAAUAAAGUCCAUCAAGCGAGUAUAAAAUGAACGAUCAAAAUCAAACAACGUCCUAAGAAUCGAACGACAUCCUAAAAAUAGAUAAAUAGAUUCCUUAAUUAAAAAUCAGGAUUAUUGAUCUUUAUCUAAAUACUGAAUAAAAUUUUUUAUCAAAAAUUCAACCGAUUCUGAUUUCUUUACACAAUUAAACUAGCAAGUAUUCCAUACCGGUUGUUAGAAUUAAUUUGUCGAUUUUGAGAUCUUUUGAUCGUAAGGUAAAUGAUAUUAAAAAAAUUAUGAAAUUUGAUUUCUAUAAAUUUUAAAUACUCAAAAUAAUAUUUAAUGGUAUGAAUCGUCGAUUCAAAAACUUUAUCAUUGAAAAUAACUUAUGAGUACGAAGACGAUUGUAUUUAUAAGAGUAUAGUAAUCGAAUUCAUAUAUAUAUAUGUAUGUAUAUAUAUAUAUGUAUGUAUAUAUAUAUAUGU
This 1094-nucleotide long non-coding RNA is filed under the name Ananas comosus (pineapple). RNAcentral describes it as "long non-coding RNA (ACOM_LNC032141)". The record is from RNAcentral. Lineage: Eukaryota; Viridiplantae; Streptophyta; Magnoliopsida; Poales; Bromeliaceae.